GAUGUACUCCCUCCGUUCGAAAAUACUUGUCAUCAAAAUGGAUAAAAGGGCAUGUAUCUAGAUGUAUUUUAGAUUUUUAGUUCUAUAUACAUCUCUUUUUAUCCAUUUUGAUGACAAGUAUUUUCGGACGGAGGGAGUACACA
Triticum aestivum (bread wheat) is the source of this 143-nucleotide non-coding RNA. The record is from Rfam. Lineage: Eukaryota; Viridiplantae; Streptophyta; Magnoliopsida; Poales; Poaceae.